AAACUUUCAACAACGGAUCUCUUGGUUCCGGCAUCGAUGAAGAACGCAGCGAAAUGCGAUAAGUAAUGUGAAUUGCAGAAUUCAGUGAAUCAUCGAGCUUUGAACGCACAUUGCGCCCCCUGGUAUUCCGGGGGGCAUGCCUGUCCGAGCGUCAUU
This 156-nucleotide ribosomal RNA is filed under the name Penicillium janthinellum. RNAcentral describes it as "5.8S ribosomal RNA". It matches the Rfam family "5.8S ribosomal RNA". From Rfam's summary of the family: 5.8S ribosomal RNA (5.8S rRNA) is a component of the large subunit of the eukaryotic ribosome. It is transcribed by RNA polymerase I as part of the 45S precursor that also contains 18S and 28S rRNA. Lineage: Eukaryota; Fungi; Ascomycota; Eurotiomycetes; Eurotiales; Aspergillaceae. The record is from RNAcentral.